RNAcentral lists this transfer RNA (77 nucleotides) under Clostridia bacterium. RNAcentral's name for it is "tRNA-Arg". It matches the Rfam family "tRNA". Rfam says of the family: Transfer RNA (tRNA) molecules are approximately 80 nucleotides in length. Their secondary structure includes four short double-helical elements and three loops (D, anti-codon, and T loops). Further hydrogen bonds mediate the characteristic L-shaped molecular structure. tRNAs have two regions of fundamental functional importance: the anti-codon, which is responsible for specific mRNA codon recognition, and the 3' end, to which the tRNAs corresponding amino acid is attached (by aminoacyl-tRNA synthetases). tRNAs cope with the degeneracy of the genetic code in two manners: having more than one tRNA (with a specific anti-codon) for a particular amino acid; and 'wobble' base-pairing, i.e. permitting non-standard base-pairing at the 3rd anti-codon position. Lineage: Bacteria; Bacillati; Bacillota; Clostridia. The record is from RNAcentral.
GUGCCCGUAGCUCAGCCGGAUAGAGCAACGGCCUUCUAAGCCGUCGGUCGGGGGUUCGAAUCCCUUCGGGUACGCCA